Molecule: long non-coding RNA, 523 nt
Filed under: Ananas comosus (pineapple)
Lineage: Eukaryota; Viridiplantae; Streptophyta; Magnoliopsida; Poales; Bromeliaceae
Description: long non-coding RNA (ACOM_LNC042367)
Source: RNAcentral
UACUGUACUCUUAAGAAUAUAAAAUUCUUCAUACUCGUAAGUUAUUUUCAAUUAUAGAACUUCCAAUUAAUAAAUUCAUAUCAUUAAAUAUAAUUUAGAGUAUUUAAAAUUUUUAAAAAAUAAAUUUCAUAAUUUUUUAAUAUUAUAAUAAAGUCUAUCAAACGGGCAUAAAAUAAACAGUUAAAUUCGAACGAUUUUUUAAAAAUAGAGAAUCGGAGUUAUUUAUCUUUAUUUCAAUAGUAAAUAGAAUUUUGUUUCAAAAAUACAACUAGUUAUAAUUCUUUUACACCGUUAAACUAGCAAAUAUUCUAUACCAAUCUUUAAAAAUUAUCAAUUUUGAGAUCUUUUGAUGUAUGAUAAAUAAUAUCAAAAAAUUAUGAAAUUUAAUUUCUAAAGUUUUAAAUGUUGUAGAUAAUGUUAAAUGGCAUGGAACAUUAAUUCGAAAAUUUUAUCAUCGAAAAUGAGUGUGAAAGCAUUACUCAUAAGAAUAUAGUAGCCUAACUCAUAUAUAUAUAUAUAUAUA